UUUUUUUUUUCUCUUCUUCUCCUUUGCUGAUCUCAGGUUUUUUUUUUUUUACUCUCCUUUCCCGUCGUUGACCACCACCGUCCCAGAAAUAAUACUUCAUCCCCAACCAUGAAUAAGAACCUCCAAUUCCUCUUCCAAAUCGAGUAACAAAUCGGUACACCCACACCAUCAACCAUCACCCUCGUAUCUCCAACCAUCAUUUCACUCACCAAGCCUUUACAAACCCUAAACCUCUCAUUCCUAAUCGCAGAGGAGGAUAAUUAAGAAUUCCCAGCCCCGAAAUCAACCUCCCAUUGUAGCUAUUUGAAUUUGAAUUCCCAAUUUUCAGAUAUGAGGAAGGCGAAGAAGAGAAGAAGAAGAAGAGAAAAAAAAAAAAAAAAGGAAGACAAAAUUAGCUAUGAGGACAACUCGAACCCAAGCUUACAACUUUCCGUUUACCACUAGACCACAACAACUUAUUCACAUAACCUUGUUAAACGAUUGUAUAUAUUAAUUAACAUAUUUGAGUUUAAUAUUUAACGCCGUUAGUUAAUUCCUUUACGUCCGUUAACGGCUGUUAACGUGCGGGUUUGAUUCUACCAAUAAUUUAUAUACAAAGUAUUUUAUGACCACGAAUAAUUAGUUGAGGUAUUUUUAUUCCAAUCAAAAAUAAUUGGGCAUUAAACGUCCAAAUAAAAAUUACUUUGGGUUUUUUUUUGGGAAUUUUCCCGAAGGAAAAGUAACUAGGUAGGAAGGAGGUAGCAGAUUCUAAAAUAUAUCAAAUCUAUACUAGUAUAAUCGCAGCACUUUUUGUGACGGGUGAGUAAAAAAGCUUUCGGGUAUAUCGGAUAUCCGACCCAUUUUAAAAAUUUCUUCACAAAAAAUUUGUUGGGUCGGGUUAUAUUUAACCCAACUCAUACACCGGAUAUUCCAUAUUUAAUAAUUUAGAUUUUUAGAAGAUUUGAUUAAGAUUUAUAAUUAUGAUUCUCCUAUCAUCUUUGUUUGAUUUGUUUUUAACUGUUUUGAAUCAUCAUAUAAUACAUAAAGUAAAAAAAAAAAAAAAUCAAUUUUUUUUCUGCAUAUACUAUGAUUCGAAAUUUAAAAAACGGACAUAUAUUAUCCAAUUGACGAAAAUGUGUGUUCAACGUUCUACAUCGAUUAAAAUAUUUAGACAAUGAUUCAGAAUCAUAUCAUAAAUAAGAACAUUAAUAAAAUAAAUGAGUUUUUUGGCGGGACGGGUUUUUGAAUCAACAAUAAUAAAAAGAUUAAAAUAUCAUUAAUCCGCCGCUUCAAUACGGAUUUAAUCCUUUUUUUUUUAAUACAAAUCACAGGACGGGUUAAGAAAUUACGGAACGGGUUAUAUUUCGGAAAUGAUUUAUAUGGCGGACGAAUUUGAAUCAAUAUUUAUAUACCGCUUUAAUACGGGUUAAAUCCUCAGUUUAUUAAUAAUUAUCUCGUGGACUCGUGGUAUACCGUUACUUAAUAACAAUUGUAAACUAUAAUAUAAAUAAAUAUGUUAUAAGGAGAUACAAUUUACAAAAUAUUUUUAUACUAACUUUAAAAUUAAAUCAUCCCGCGGUACACCGCGGGUUAAAAUCUAGUGCUUAGAAAAAUAUUAACUUAUCUCUAUACUAUUAAAAGAGAAGUACAAAUGCAAAUGGGUCGGGUCAAAAUCAGAAAAUUGACCCAAAAUUCUGAAAUCGGAUCUUUGAAUUUUUUUUUGAAUAUGAAUUCUAAUUAAUAUUUAAUAAUAAAAAAUCGAACUAAAAUAAAAUAUUUAUUGAAAUCAAAUAAAAUCUGAUUGUAUUUAUGGUAACUAAUUAUAAAAACAUAUUCCGAACAAUACUAUACAUUACGUAUAAUAUAUUUUUCAUAUAUUUUUGGAACUAAUUCCAUAACAAUCAACGUUUUUGUCAUUAAUUUUGCUUAUUUUAGCCAAUUAUCAUUAAUUGAAAGAUAUCUUACUUGCUUCAAAAGAUUUCUAGAAAAUUUAUCACAACUAACCCAUCUAUUUUAUAAAUUAAAUAGAUAUUUUUAUUUUGGUCGUAUAAAUUAAAUAGAUAUGAAAUCCAUGUAACUAAUUUUAAUUUAAUUAGAUUAAAUCGAAAUUAUGGUAUUUUCAUACUUAUAGCUUACCAAAGAAGUUUAAUUUUAAAAUUAUAAAGAUUUCUUGAAUAUGAUUUUUAGAAUUAUUCAACAAGAUGAUAAAUAUUUAUUAAAUUUUACGAAUCAUGGUAAAUAAUAAUUAAUUUUUAAUCGUUAUAUUUCACCUUUCAAAGUUUCAAUCUCUCAUCUAACAAAUAGGAUAUAUAUUCUAUUAUUACUAUGUCUAAACUCUAUUUUGUUGAAUGACUAAAUAAUAUUCCCAUUAGAGCUGUCAAAGCGAGUUGAUUCGUCCCGUUAAGCCCGUUUUGUGAUAGGCAAAAUAUAUUUUGACAUAUAGUUAGUUGGUCCACACGACCCGCAUAUAGCAUAUAUGAAACACAAACCCAUCUAGCGAAUGUAUGCUGAUUUGCGGGGUUGUCUGUGGAUUUUGGUUAAAUAAUUUUAAAGUAACAAAAAUUUAAAAUACUACUAAAAUAAAUAAUAAAAAAAUUAGAAGGAAUAAUUUAUAUCUCAUUAUAUUUAUAAAUAUUAUAAUUUCAUUUAUCAAAAGUUUUUUAAAUUACCAAAUGUUGAAUAAAUUAUAUUUUUAUCAAUAAAUACUAACAUGCGGGCUGAUCCGCCAACCCGCGGACAAAAACCGAUUAAAACCUAUGAUCCACUGCGAAUCAAUCCAUGUGACCCGUUUAUUUACGGAUUUAAUAUAUUUUCACAAAUAUGCCCCAUAGUGAGAUGAUUUUGGCUCGAUCCACGGUUUUUGACCUAUUUUUACUGCUCUAAUUCCUAUGAAUUGUCUAAUUUUAGAAUUCUAAAACAUAAAAUUCCAUUUUGUAAUCCUAAUUAAUAUGAUCGGUUUAAUUAUAAACAAUUUAACAUUUUCUAUCUACAAUUCGUUAUUAUGAAUAUUUAUAAGUACACUACCCGAUUCGCUCUACUUAAAACACAAACUAUUAAAAUCAACGUAUGUAAACCAAUAUUCUCCCGCGGUCCACCGCGGGUCCGAUCCUAGUUUCAGACAUGUAAUUUCUAUCACGUUCUCUCCAAAAAAAGGUGUCUUUUAUCGGUAUAUAUAGUUGAAUCUUAUCAUUGGAUCAACAUAACAUAUAUUUGAAAAAGAAAAAAGAAAAACAUAACAUAUAGUUAUAUCGGAUCAAGUAGACUUGAUACCAUAUUAAACAUUAUAAAUUUACGUUUUGAAACUAAUCGACAAUAAAUAGACGAACUCAAAACUCUUAUGUAGUAUAUUAUGUAUUUCAAAUAUGUUAACUUUUUAGUUAAAUUCAUUUUGAAACAUCUUAUAAAAUAAUGAAAACUUCGAACACUAUGGUCCAUGUACGAAUAUACGAUGACAUAACAUCCUUUAUUAGAAAUAUUCACACAUUUCAUAACCUACAACUGCUGAUUUUCGUAUGGAUUUAUAAUUUUUGCUUAUAAAUUUACUAGACAUUUGUUUUUAACAAGAAUCAAAAACAUAUAGAAAAGGAUAAUUAAGAAGUGUUUAUAAAUGGUCAAAACAACUAAUGACACGCUUAAAGGCCAUCACUGUUUUAGCUUCACCAACCCCAUUUAGUUGUUCUCUCUAUUAAUUAUCAGACCAACCAAAUGAAUUAUUCCCGUAUUUAUAAAACAAAACAAAAAUAAAAACAAUAAAUCUAUUUCAAAAUAAAAAGGUUUAGACAAGAAAAAAGUCGCCAAAUCCGCCGGCGGGAGAAAAAUUCCGGUGAACCAUUCUUCUUGAUUCUGCAGGUGGUUUUCUUAAAUUAAGUUUCUUACCGCUAAUUUAAUUCUGAUUUGUUUAUAUGUUUUUUCUGUCAGGAAAGUGUCAAUUUUUAAUAUUCCUUACCCUUUCACGGUUUAAUUUGUUUUGGAUAAUCAUUCUCUUUUUUUUUUCUGGAAAGUUCGAAUUUUUUUUGUUUGGAAGCUUGGAUAAAAAUAUUAUAGUCUCAUUGAAUGAUCAUUCUUUUUGUUGUUGUUGAUUUACUAUGCUUUUACAAAUCCUCAUUUGAUCGAUUCUGUCAAAGAAUUGGGUCAAUUUUGAAAAGAAAAAAAAUCUGAACUUUGAGAAAAGUUAUUGAGUUUCGGUUUCUGUCGGUCAGGGUUUGUGAUUGUGGCUGAUGGGUAGACAACAAAUUAGGUAGGGUUUUGUUAUAUUGAUGUCCAUAGUCCUUAAUUGUGGCCAAAUUCUUGUCUUUUAGGUUUUGGCUGAAUCUUGUUGAAAUUUCUUUUGCAGGGGUUUUGAAUAUUUUUGUGUAUUGAAGAUUGUCUGAAAUGGAAGCAGCUAUUGCUCAGAGGAUUCAGUACCCAUCAUGGGUUGAUUGGAGAGAGUUUGAGGGGAAGUCGCUGCGUGGUUCAUUGCGGUAUUCUCAGCGAGUGAAGGAAGAGAAAAGGUUUAGAGGGCUUGCUUUGGCUCAUUUGCAACCUGAAAGAAGAAAAAGAUCAGUUUCUUCAGAGGUUUUAUGUUCUGAUAACAACUCUUCAGGUGGUUGUGAAAUCAUUUGGAUGUUUUGAUGCCUAUGAUAUAACUCAAUCUGAAAUGCUAUAGCUGCGAGUGUCUCAUUUGAUCUUUGAUUUUUGUAGCGUUGUUGGAGGCCGGAAGUGUUUAUCCGUUUGAUGAAGAUCUAAUUCUCAAGGCAAGUAAUAAUACCCUUUUAUAACAUCAAGCUAUCAUAUCAGCUUAUAAAAGCUUACUAGGCAAUAAAUACAUGAGCUUUGCAGAGAAAAGCAGAAGAGGUUAAACCGUUUUUGAAUGGUCGAUCUAUGUACCUUGUUGGUUAGUUUCUUUGUCUGCAUCUUUGUUUGCAUACAGUUACUUCUUAAUACAUGUAAUUUGAUGACUCUGUGGUGAAUACAGGAAUGAUGGGUUCUGGGAAAACGACCGUGGGAAAGUUAAUGUCCAAAGUGCUCGGUUAUUCCUUCUUUGACUGGUAUGUAUAUGCUACUGAAGAAAAGCCUUUAUAUGUUUUAAAGCCUUAAUGGAAGUCUCCUGGAAAAUUUGUUCUUUGAUUUGGAGUUAGUAAUGAAUGUGGUUUGAUAUUCUCGGUUUGUAACCUUCUAUAAGUUUUUGGAUGUGGCAGCGACUCUUUGAUUGAACAGGCGAUGAAUGGAACUUCUGUUGCAGAGAUAUUUGUGCAUCAUGGAGAGAAUUUUUUUAGAGGAAAGGAGGUUAUUUUUGUGAUCCUUGUUUCAAGCUCUUCUUCUUCGUCUACUCUUUGUUUAGUGCGAUUCAUUGUACAUAUUUCAAGCUAAGUUUCUUUCUUUCUAGACUGAUGCGCUUAAGAAGCUCUCUUCGAUGUAUCAAGUUGUUGUUUCCACCGGUGGAGGUGCAGUUAUACGACCCAUUAACUGGUGUGUUCCCUUCAUCCUGUUCAAAUUAUAAUGAUAUAAAAACUCAGUUGCUUGUUAAACUUAUUUGGUAAUCUGAUGAUAUUAUCAGGAAAUAUAUGCAUAAAGGAAUCAGCAUUUGGCUAGAUGUGCCUCUAGAAGCCUUAGCCCAUAGAAUCGCUGCUGUUGGAACUGGUUCACGACCACUGUUACACGAUGAAUCAGGAGAUGCAUACUCAGUGGUACUGAUCUGACUGUUCUACAAUCAUACGCCUUGGAUACUUAAACAAAAAAAUCAUCUUUUUCGUGUUUGUGAUUGUGAUUGUGAAUGAAUACUCGUAGGCUUUCAAACGUCUCUCGACUAUUUGGGAUGAGCGCGGUGAAGCAUACGCAAAUGCAAAUGCCAGAGUCUCCUUGGAAAGUAUGUCUUCUUCAUCCAUCUGAUAUAGCCUUUGUUCAAUCUGUGUAACUUCUUCUGGUAAUUUUGCUUUCCUUCCUUGUACUCGAAUCAUCAGAUAUUGCAGCCAAGCGUGGCUAUAAAGAUGUCUCAGAUCUCACACCAACUGAAAUCGCUAUCGAGGUAAGUCAGGUUCUUUCUCUUUUACUUCAUCAUUAAUAUGUUCAAAUCACACUCAACAAAGCAAAUCACUCAUCAUCAGGCCUUUGAGCAAGUUCUGAGCUUUCUAGAGAAAGAAGAAACUAUGGAGAUCCCAGACGGCGACCUCUAAUUUCCCCGCCUCCACUUCUGUCUCUUCAUUUAUAUGUUCAAUCAACUCAAUGAAGCAAUUACUCAUCACCAGGCCAUUGAGCAAGUUCAGAGACAAAGAAAGUCCUCUAGUUACUGGUUCUGGGUCAAUGGAGCUUACACGAGCCAAUUUUGACUGGAUCAAUGCUUUAUUAGAAGAAGAUACAAUACAUGUAUAUAAUACUUAUAAUAAUACUCUUUGUUUCAGUAUCAUUCUUCUUCUCUUUUCCUUGAACAAAAAGAAAAAGUAGCAGUAUUCGUUUUGUUAAGAUGAGCCAGGAACAAGCAAUGUGUACGAACACAAUUUUACUGGUAUUAUUCAAAUCUGAAAGUAGCUUUCUUAUGAAUUUAACAAAAGAAAUGGACAGAAGAAGUUGAUUUAACCCUCAAAAGGUACAGAAGCAAAUCUAUAACCAUCAUUACACCGGCGAUUUGUUUCAUCUUGGCUCAGGGCCUCAGGCCAAGCUAUACCCUUUGUCGAUCCACCAUUUCUGGCAACACCGUCUAAAUCACUAUGUGCACAAUGACAGUUACUCACAGACAAACAUAACAGAACCAAUCGCCCUGAAUCAAAAGCAGAUCAGCGUGUAGCAUGGAUGAUGAUACAUUAGACAUCUAUCACCAUCAAACUGUAGCUGCCAAGCAAUUCACAAUGGCAGAUUCAUUAGGAACCGUAAGCACGGUACCAGACCACACGAUUUUCCCCCAAAUAUCCCCUUCUCCACGCCUUUCAACAUCAAUCUCCGCACACCAAAUCUCCAUUCUCCUAGAACCGCCACUACCAGCUUUACCUUCCCACAAAACCGCAAGCUUUCCACCACGAUUCGCCAUAGUAGCCCCACAAAGAAACUUUGGAAGUGAUUCCACACCUUUCAGCUCUUUCCAAAUCCUCUCUUUUGGAUCAUAGCCUCUAAUCUUCCCCAAGUAAUCAUAACAAUACAAUAUGUUGUCAAUCACACAAGCUCUUCCUCUCCAUCCCAAAUCAAGCCUCUUCUCAGGCAUAUCCCAUUUCUUUUCCUUGGGCUCGUAAACAACACCGUUUCGAUCAGCCAUUGCGUAAACCUUCCCUUCCAUAACCGCACUUGCGUGCAUCCAUUUCUCACGCACCUCCAUGCCUGGACUAGCCACUGGCUCCCAAGUUUGAGUCUUUAUAUCAAACAUCUCUGCCCAAUUAAUCGAUCGGGCCCAAUUAUCAACCACACAUCCUCCAAUCACAUAAAUCUUCCCAUCGAUUACACCAGCUGCUGCAAAUUCACGACCUACUCUCAUAUUAGAGACUCGUCGCCAAGUAUGAAAUCUGCAAUCGAGAACCCAGACGCUCGAAGAAGGCACGUCUCUGAUAGAUCCACCGAUCACGUAAAUAUCUGAAUCUACCACAACGUAAGCAGAUCCAACAAGAGACGGUGAAGGACAAGACGGGAUUGGAACAAGCAUUUUCGAAUUCGUUGAGCUCGAUAAGGUUCGAUGGAGAAGAGUGAACCAACACGCACCAGAUUCAGGAGGUAAACGAAUUGCGACGUAGAGGAUGUUUUCAGUGGCGCCGACGAGAGAUCUCGUGGCGUAGAGCAAAGGCGAUGUUGGGAGAGAUCGGAAAGUCUUGGAGACGAGAGAGAGGAUCGGAUGGUGACAUCUUGAGACGCGAGCAAGGCAAUUCAGAGCAACGUCGUCUGAUAAUAAUGGAAUCAAUUGCGCCGCCGAUUUCGUUUCCGGUGGUUCGUCGCCGGAGCUCGUUGUAGCCGCCAUGUAACAGAUUUGAUCAGUCUUAUUAUCUUCUCAAUUUUAAAUAAGAGAGAAAAUGAUUUUGCAUUAUUCGGUUCGGUUCGGUUCGAUAAAAACCAAUCCGAGCCGAGAAAAUUAAUUUGGAAUCUAAACCGGGUUUAAACCGAUAUAAUUGUGCCGUUAUCUAAAAAUGCUGACGUGGCAGAAAGCAUGAUCCGGUGGUUUGAAAGAAGCCACGCGCUUUCUCGUCUUCCCUUCGUCCGACGAUUGCAAUUGGGAGAAGAAGAAGAAGACGAUGAAGCAUUAUCUGAUUCUGGGUUUGUUUAAAAUCGAAUUUUUCUUGAGAAUUUUUUGAAGAAGUAUGAUUGCAUUAACUGUUUCUUCGUUGGGGAAUACUCCGAUUGCUUCGUUUAACCGGCGUUUCAGAUUCCGGUUACAUCCACGAAACCUUCCGAUACUAGCAGCGGUUUCUCCUUCUUCAUCCUCUUCUUCUUCUCCUACUGCUUCUUCUGGGUUUGAUUUGAGUUCUCUCGAAUCCGCCAUUAACAAGGUCAAUUCUUGUUCACAACCUUUACUUUUUAAUUAGAUGAACUUUGCUUAAAGUGGGUUCAUUUGUUAUCGCAGAAAGAUAGUAAUGGUGUUAAGGAAGCUCUAGAUAAAUUGAGUGAAGAAGGUUGGGCUAAGAAAUGGAGUUCCCAGCCGUAUCUUUCGCGCCGUACGGUGUAUAUCGAUCUCUCUAUCUAAGCUUAUCCUUACCAUUUGUUAAACGCUUAGUGAGUGACAGUGAAGAAGUGAUGUGUCUUUUUGUAUCAGACAUCGCUUCGGGAGCUGACAACUCUCGGAAUCAAGAAUGCAGAGACUCUUGCCAUCCCUAGUGUCAGGAACGAUGUAAGGUUCUGUCUUGUUAUUAGAAUGCUGAACUCAAGAGAGUUCUUGAGGUUUACAUUGUAUGUUAAUGGAGGCUCUUCUGAAUUCUGAUUUAGUUGAGUAAUGCAGGCGGCUUUUCUUUUCACAGUAGUAGGAACAACGGGGUUCAUAGCUGUACUUGCCGGCCAACUUCCCGGGGUAAACUCUAAAUACUCAAUUUUCUCUGGUGUUAUAGGCCAUGAAAAAUCUUUGGCCUUUUCUCAUUGAUUUCUAGUUGUCUGUUCUUUCUUCUAGACAAUUGUGUAGGCUAGACCAAGAACUACAUCCUAUAGAGCGUGUAUACCAUGUCGAAAACCAUGGAAAUAUCUCGGUUUCUGUCGAUUGUGUUAGGUUCUAUAUGUAUCUUAGACUGAUGAAUAACUGUUGAAUCUGGACAGGACUGGGGAUUCUUUGUGCCUUACUUAGUUGGGAGCAUUUCGUUGGUAGUUUUAGCUGUGGGAAGCGUUUCACCAGGGUAAGAAAGUAACUUAAACACUGCGUAUUUUGUUUAGUUUUCGUUAGCUUAAUGUAGUCUGGGAUACAGAUUUAUUUUCUGCUGUUUUGUUCGUAGGCUUCUUCAAGCUGCGAUUUCCGGGUUUUCUACGUUCUUCCCUGAUUAUCAAGAAAGAAUUGCUGCACAUGAAGCAGCCCACUUCUUAGGUACUCUUGAAAAAUUUAAACCUUUUAGUUCUAAAGGUUCAAUGUUCUGAUUCUGUUUUAAAACUUCCAGUGGCUUACUUAAUCGGACUUCCAAUCCUUGGGUAUUCGUUAGACAUCGGUAAAGAACACGUCAAUCUCAUCGACGAGAGACUAGCUAAACUAAUAUACAGCGGCAAGCUUGACUCAAAGGAGCUAGAUAGGUAGAGUUUCUUUAAUGUCGAAAAGGAGAAAAGAAGAAUCAAAAUCUCAACCCAUUGAAUCAUCUUUGGUUUCUCAGGUUGGCUGCUGUUGCAAUGGCUGGACUUGCCGCCGAGGGUCUGAAGUAUGACAAAGUGAUCGGCCAAUCUGCAGAUCUCUUCUCUCUUCAGGUCCUUCCUAUCCAUCACUCAACUCAACACUCACAAGUUCACAAACCAAUAAGUUACAACAGCUUAUUUUUCUUUGAUUUCCUGCAGAGAUUCAUAAACAGAAGCCAACCCAAAAUAAGCAACGAGCAGCAGCAAAAUCUAACAAGAUGGGCUGUAAGUUUCUCUUGUCGUCUCUCAUUAACAUGUUUCCUUCUUAAGUAUUCAUGAAUAUUUGUUAUUUGUUAUGCAGGUUCUCUACUCUGCUUCUCUUCUCAAAAACAACAAGACCAUCCAUGAAGCUCUAAUGGCUGCAAUGUCCAAAAAUGCAUCUGUUCUUGAAUGCAUUCAAACCAUCGAGACAGCUUCCUAGAUAAACAAUCUCUGUUAUCUCUUUUGAUCGAUCGAAUUCCUUCACAUGAAAUUCCAUAUCUUUUAUAUAUAUAAAGACACAAAAAGUUACAGACUUUCAAUAUCAUCAUCUUCAAGCACUAUGAAGAAGAUCAAAACUAUAGUACUACUAUAAUAUAAACGAUGUAAUUAUACAUUUAAAGUGGUAUUUAUGGUUGACGAACUUAAAGAUCAUCAGACCAAUCACUUGGCUUGGUGUCAUAGAACAACCCAUCAACGAUCUGAUCAACCAAAGAGUCAAUAAACGAGUUGCAGCUCACUGUAAAAAUCCGGCCAACUCGGUUCCGAGAAAUCGUUAACCACGCGAAUAUCGCCGCGCAUCCCAUCGCGGCGAGACCAGCUCCAAUAGCUUCACUUAAUCCUUCCACAUCAAGUUUCUUAAACAACGAAUUCCCCGUAACAACCUCCUCCGUCACCGUCGCCGCAAACACAAUCUGAAAAGAGUAAAUUCACAUAUUAAACCGCGAGAUCGAAGAUCGAAGUUCGAAUUUAGGGUUUAUGGUUUAUUUACCAUGGCGAGUCUUCCAGAGAUGGUUUCAAAGUCUUGACUCUUCUUCGAACUCUCUAUGUAAUCAGUAAGCGUCUCAAAAAACGGAGACGAUGAUAGCUCAACCUCAGAUCCUCCUCCACCAUCUCCGCCGUCUCUUUUAGCGAUGACCAUAUCAGAUCCAUAAGAUCUCAGCGUGCAAAGUCUCGGCUGAAGCACGAUCUUCCCUUUCUCGGCUAAAUCGCCACCUCUUGGUCGUUGCUGUAUCUGAAUCUGCUUGAUUGGUUCCGAUGAUUCGCAUCUAGGAGAUAAAGAUCUCGGUGACGGUAACUGGCAACGAAUCGCGCGUGUAGCCAUAGCCAUUUCUGAUGAUCCGAGGAAUCUUUUGAGGAAAGUGAGUAUUUGAGGGGGAAAACAAAAAGAGGAAUCUUCAUGGUGGCUGAAGAGUACACGUCGUGUCGUUUUUUGUGAGGUGUCAAGAUAUUGUUCGACGUGGCUCCGUUUUGCUUCAGUAACUUGCUUUUCAAUCGGAAAAAUACUUGUUUAGAAUUUUAGAAAAUACGUUUGAACUACGUGUCGUUUUGCUUUUAUCUAUUCGAAGCUGAAUGAACCAGAUUCAUUUUAGACCCAACUAUUUGACUCUUCUUCUUUUUAUUGAUGUUUAUAGGUUUAGGUCGGUAUAUUUCGGAUAAAAUGCCAAAUAAGAAUAAUGGAUAUGGAUAAUGAAUAUUUGGGAUACAUAAAAUACCUACUGAAUGAGAGAAAUAAGAACUGAAAAAUGUUUUUUUUUUUUUUUUUUUUUUUUUUGACUUUGGAUCGACAAGGCCCGAUCCAUAGCCAAUCCCUACUAUGCGGAGUAACGCGACUUAGUGGAGUCGAACUCCGGUGGAGAAGGCGGAGUCAAAUGGACUUAACCACUUGACUAAAAGCACAUCCCCAAGAACUGAAAAAUGUUAAAAACAAGAAUUUCAAAAUAUUCGAAAGGAGAAACAUGCAUUUCCUUAUAGUAUACUCCAAAAAUAAUAAUUUUAGGUUUUAUAUCAAUCACUCAAGAGCUGAUUGUAAUACUUCUUCUAGAUGCUUUUCCGUGGCUUCAAAUUGUAUUUUCUUCUCUUCGAUUGCUAGUGCAGUAAGAGCUUUAUCAGGAGGCAAGUCCUGCCGUCCUGGUAGCUUCUAAGAGCAUCAAGAACGGGCUUAAGAUCAUCUUCUCCAAUUCCUUUAAGUGCUCUGCCAUUUCUACCAACUCCUUGUGGCUGAUCUUAGAAAUGUCGAUUAACCUAUCACAUGCAUAAUCCUGACGUUCCGACCGACCAUUCAUUCUCAGACUUAUUAUACUUCUUUAUGUAAUUUUCCUCCUUGAUUGCCAUUACUUCCAUAUUUGUUUUCCAAAUUUCCAUGCGUGAUUCACAAGGGACUACUACAUCAUCUUCUAGCUGUGCAAGGAUUUUAUUUAAAUACGUCAUCUUUUGUAUCGCUUUUCUUGUAUAAUCAAGAAGAACAUUGGACUCCAUUUUCGCCUUAGCUCUCUUCUCCUACACUCCAGUCUUCCUUAGAGAAAUGUCUCCCAUUGCAAUAAGGAAACUGCUUAGUUCAGUGUCCCUUAUGUUUACGAUAGUUCUAGUAAACUCAAUAAUUAGAGAUCCUUCUUUUCUCUUUUGUAAUAUAUAAUUUUUUUUCAUGUUUUACUAACAUUUUCUUGUUUACGGCGUCGGCAAUUCUCAAUUAUAUAAACUAUAACCUAAAUCUAAAAGUCUGGCCGAUUCUAACAGAAAAAAAAAAUCAAACGUGAAUUAGUUUGCAUGUAUCAACCUGAAACACUUUUUUUAUAUAAAUCAUCCUAAAGAACAAUAUUACCUCCAAAUCCGUCCUCAUAUACCUCACCACCAAAAGGACCCAUGCAUAUACACACAUAUCAUCAUGAUCAUAUAAUCACAAAUCAAUCCUUAAACCGCUAUCAAUCAACAACGCAUAUCUCCUCCGACCAUAUAUUACAUCAAAUCAUACUCUUACGAAGAAGAUACUAAGUUCGGGUCCAUUAUUUCCUUCGGGACUCAACAUGUAAAAUGUCUCUGAAUCUUUAGACCCAACGACUCGUUCGAAAUAAGCCCUCAUGUAAGCCAUCUCCGAGUCAGGUCCUUCAACCUCCGAGUUCCCCGGCAAAACUCCGGCACCCAUCGAAACUGGUCUUAACAACUCCAUAACGUUGAGAUCUUCCUCCGUCGCGUCACGUUUCACACCGUACCCCGUUUUCUUACCGUUACAAAACAUUGUCCAUAAUGGCUCGUCCAUGAUCUUGGUCUUCUCUUUAUCACCUCGUUUCUCUGUCUCUAACGCGAUCCUAACCAUCCCUCCGCUAAGUUCUUUUUGUAGCACCAUUGUUUGCAUCGCAAGCUCGACGACGAGAGAUGGUAAACAUCUAGGGCUUUCUUGAAUCGAGAGGCUUACACGGCCUUUACGGUAUCCGAACAAGGUUCCCGUAACUCUUGAUCCGCUUGAUCCGCUUCGAUGAGGGUCGGGUAAGCUACCGCCUGGGAGGACCGGGAUUUUGCAAGCUGCCGGUGUGAUGAUCGGGAAAGAACGGAAAACCGAACGAAAAACUCGGAAGACUUUUUUGCUUUUCUUCUUGUUUUGAUGAGAUGGUUCGAGUAACGUGACAUGGUGACGUGGCGCCGGAGAUGGAGACGGUGAGGGAGACCCCGAAGGGAUUGAAUAUGAGUCGGUGGAGGAGGAAGCACCGCUUGCCCUUGGCCUUUGCUCCCCCAUUAAAGACGGAGACGUCGACGAGGAUACGACGACGUUUUUACGGAAAAACUUCUUUCUAUUUUAAAGAGGUUAAUUAAUGUACUGUGUCUUUUAAUUUGUUGGCCUUUUCUUUUGCCUUUCACACACCUUUGAGUUUUUAGGAUUUCUAAUUUUGUUUUUUUUGUUAGAAAUUGGAAUGGUUUUGGAAAAAGGUCUAAAUUUUUGUGUUCACAUUGUGGUUAUAGUUUAUAUAUAGUUGUUGUUUUUAUUUUGAAGUGUAAUCAGCCAGCUCUAUGCUCUAUUUUUAAGAGUAGGAAACAAAGCUGUAUAUUUCAAAACAUGUGAAAACAAAUCAAACGAGUUUCCAAAAAUAGAGAGAUAUACAUAAAGUUGUAUAGUCGUUUGGUCAGGUCAAUGUACAAUAGUAAUCGCCUGUAAAAUCUCAUGAUAUCUAAGUCCAACUUGGUGUAUAGUGGAUCUUGUAAGCUUGUAACAAUAAUUUAACCAAAACACGGUUAAUUAAUUCAAAUAAAAUAAACAUCAAAAUUUGAGUUGAUCUGUUUCUUAUUCUAAACUUCUGAUGCUGAUUUAAUCAACUAAAAUAUGUAUGGUGUAAAUGUUGGGAGAUUUAUAUGAUUAAUCAAAUUUAGCAUAUAUACUAUUGAUACAGAGUACGAUGAAGUCUUGCAUUGCAUGUAUAGUAAUUCUUGACAAAAAGAGUUAUAAAUAUACUAUUCUUUCAAUCUUUCUUGCUAAAGAAAAGAGUAAUAAAUAUUAUCUACGCUUAUGUAUGACUUUUUUUUUUUUUUUUUUUUUUUUUUUUUUUUUUAACUUUAAUAUAUUAAAACUGGGCCUUCCCAACUGGGCUUGACCUUGAAUUUUACAAUAGAAUUCAGAUACAAAAAAGAAUACUCAUAAAAUCGGCCCAGAACUAGUAGUCGGAUCUCAUCCUGCUGACAGACCGAAAUCAGAAACUCCGAGCAACAUACACGGCGGAAACAGGAUCCACGACUUUGCAAUUGAACCCCAGAAACGGAAAACAGGGAGGGAAGUUUCCGGACUCCCGUCCCGUUGCCAUUCCGGCGAACCACCAGUCCCAUUACAGAUCCUCCGAAUUGCGGCUCCACGAUGUCGGAUCCCAUGCCAAGCAAUCCAACAUGCCCAGAUGUAACCCCGACUUCCAAUUCUGGCGAUCUCAGACUCUUCCGAGCUAGGGUUUACACGAAGUCCAGUCCCAGGAAGCAAUAACGUGCCAGUUCCGGACUCCCGUCCCGCUUAUGUAUGACUUGACAAUCGAUAUGUUUGCGUGUGUACGUGAACAAGUUCCAAGAUUGGAUGAAAUUUAUUAAUCUGGCGACAAACAUUUUUUUUU
RNAcentral lists this long non-coding RNA (14789 nucleotides) under Arabidopsis lyrata. RNAcentral's name for it is "long non-coding RNA (ALYR_LNC001864)". Lineage: Eukaryota; Viridiplantae; Streptophyta; Magnoliopsida; Brassicales; Brassicaceae. The record is from RNAcentral.